GGAAAUCUGAUAAUUGCAUAGAUCCUAGCCAUUGGAUCAUCGAAAACUGAUGAUUGUAUAAGAGCUCCCUGACCAUUAUACAAGAGCUUCCUGGCCAAUGGCCAUGGACCAGCUCUGCUUUUUAAUUAUAUAUACAGAAAGCUAUUUGAUACACCACCCAUGAAAAUGCAAACUUACUGAAACAGGUCAGGUAAUCAAAGUAUAUACUAAACCAGGUACUUAAGGCAAUUGAAAUACAAAACCGAAUAUGUACUCAUAAUACAUAGUCAGGGUACUGUGCGGCGAACUGGAUCAGAAUAUGUAGUCAGGGUAUUGGAGGAAAAAACGGGGUACCUCAACCUCGAACUCGGCACCUUUUGGAUCUGUCAAUCUGGAAAAGCACAAGAUAAGAGAUGAAAAAUUCAUUAUUACAAAAUACAUUGGCUUUUUGCAAGACACUUAAAAUGUCUCUCUAUAUUGUUUGUCAAAGUUGUGGGAAUAUGGAAGAUUGAUAAAAUUCAUAACAAGCAAACUGAAAUUCAUAAUUGAAAUGAAUUUUAAUAUACUAUAUCCAAUCGCAACAUUACAUAAUAUGUGCCGCAUAAUCACCUAAAACAGAUUAAUUUGCUCGCUGUUACUCAUUUCACUAAGAUAGAUGGUGAGUGCUUGCAUAUGGUGCCUCAAGUUAUUUAUUGCAUAACAUUUACUGUGAGAUGAGGCUGUAAUAUGAGUCAAGCUGGUCACUAUCCGACCAAUCUCGUUCUCAUUUAUCUAGGGUUGAUCUCACUAACAGACAAGCCGAGCGUGAACAAGAAAUAUUCUUGAUUAGUAUUUAGGCUUAAUUUGUCUUGAACACAAUAACAUCUACUCACUCGAGUAAAUUACUUGAGCUCGACUCAUCUCAUUUACAAAAAGGAUUGAGCUCAAGUUUUAACAAGAAACAAUUGUUGUGCUCGACUCGUUUAAAAAGCUCAAUAAACUCGAACACUUUCAACAGCAUGAGAGGUGGUGACGCAUGGUUGAUGAUGCCUCGACUAAAUUUACAGCUGCACUAUAUAAGUUAUUGUAUAUAUAGCAACCACCUUAACAUUAUGUGGCAGAUGCAAGGGGGCUUAAACCACCUCCCGUGGCCUAAAAAAAAUAGUUGAUAAAAUGUAAGUGCAUAUAUGUAUAUAACCAGUGUGUGUGAUGAAUAUAUGUGUGCGAGAAGCAGUAGAAACAAUGUAAGAGAAAAACUCUUGUAUUGCUAGCUGGAAGCUUAAUUUACAUUGAGAGAUAACUGACUUUAAACAGAGAAAAUGAAACUUGGGCACUACUUAAUCUACAGUACAUGAGGUCACUAUUAGACUAUUACUGUACAAUCCGAGGUCAUUGUUGUGAGGUCAUCAGCAUGAAGUCAUUGUGUAUGCUUUAACACCCCCCCUCAAACUUAAGAUGGUUGAAGAACUAACUUUAGUUUGAAAACAAAAGUUCGAAAGCUGCCAGGAGGAUGUAUUUUGGUGAAUAUAUCUCAGCAUUAUCAAGACCGGAGACAGCACAUAGGUGAACCGUGCCUUUGGCAACUUGCUGUCGAGUGAAAUGACAUCGAUCUCGAUGUGUUUAGUGCGUUCAUGAAAAACAUCAUUAUGAGCUAUGUCCAUUGCACUUUUACUAUCACAAAAUAUAGUAAUUGCUGGAGAGUGAGUUACACUCAUAUCUUCAAGCAACCAGCACAAUNUAUAUACUAAACCAGGUACUUAAGGCAAUUGAAAUACAAAACCGAAUAUGUACUCAUAAUACAUAGUCAGGGUACUGUGCGGCGAACUGGAUCAGAAUAUGUAGUCAGGGUAUUGGAGGAAAAAACGGGGUACCUCAACCUCGAACUCGGCACCUUUUGGAUCUGUCAAUCUGGAAAAGCACAAGAUAAGAGAUGAAAAAUUCAUUAUUACAAAAUACAUUGGCUUUUUGCAAGACACUUAAAAUGUCUCUCUAUAUUGUUUGUCAAAGUUGUGGGAAUAUGGAAGAUUGAUAAAAUUCAUAACAAGCAAACUGAAAUUCAUAAUUGAAAUGAAUUUUAA
RNAcentral lists this long non-coding RNA (2036 nucleotides) under Daucus carota (carrot). Its description in RNAcentral is "long non-coding RNA (DCAR_LNC005583)". Lineage: Eukaryota; Viridiplantae; Streptophyta; Magnoliopsida; Apiales; Apiaceae. The record is from RNAcentral.